Molecule: long non-coding RNA, 1112 nt
Organism: Sus scrofa (pig)
Lineage: Eukaryota; Metazoa; Chordata; Mammalia; Artiodactyla; Suidae
Source: RefSeq, a predicted model, not a curated record
GGCUCUACUGGGUUUUCAUGCUGAUUAGAAUCUCUGGGCUGAAAAAGGGAGUGAAACCCUGUCACUUGGUCCUCCCACCACCGCCGGCUUUUCUGGCAGAGCAGCCACUGCUGUAAGAGCACUGCUUCUGGGGCUUAGUACCCUCAACUCCACUAGGGAGAGAAUGGUUCAGAAGAGCUCCUUCCUCUUUUAGGGUCAGAAUCCGAAGCGCCCCCAACGGAGCUUUUUUCUGUUUCUUUUUCCAUUUACCCGUGCUUAUUUGCCUCUUGAAUUUCAGAUUUUAGAAAUCUGUACAUUUUCCUAAAGGGGUGGGGGUAUAAAAUAAUUCUGAGUCCAAGUUAGGAACACCUCCGGCACUGAGACCCUCAAGGCUCAUCUCCAUAAGAUCAACUGGAUGAAAUGCAGUGAAAUGGCGUUUGGGGGUGUGGGCUGGGGGGAGGGUUAGAGAUGUUAUUCAUUUCGCGAGCACAUGACAUUUCCACGGGUGCUCUUAGAGUAUAAGAUGGGCGAGCAGCUCGUCUCAUUGUCCCAGAUGAAACCUCGCACCACACCGGAGAACAGGAAGUGGAGAAGAGUUUGAAAGAGAGCUUUGAUGAGGAGUUUCCCUUGUUUCUGGGCUGGCUCUGCCCAGGAGAGUGAGCCCUCCUGCUCCCCGCCCCCUCCUUCCACAGGGGACGGAGGUAGAUUCCAUUUUCUGCGGCCGAAACGCCCCAGCCUGUUACACUCUGUGCUUUAUCUCUGCAGCCAACUCAGCGCCACGAGUAACUGUGUGUCCCCUGCUGUAACACAAUGAAGAUGAUCAGCUGCACUCAUAUUACCUUAUGUCACCAAGACGGUGAAGACAAGUUUCUGAAAUGAUUUUUCAUCCAAAGCCCUGAAAUGAUUUUGGGAAAGUCGAUAUUUUAAAAGGCCAUUUUCCUGAGAUAAGAACUGAGUUUGACGUCUGGGAUGAGGAUCUUGAUCAAGAGAAACAACCUUCACACCAAAGGGGGAUGCCUUGCCUGAAAGAGUGAGCUAACUAUGUUAAAUUUAGAAAAGAACAAUGGAGUUGACUUUAGCAUGUUUUCUACUGUGAUCUCUGUUACCCAGAAACAAAUACUAAAUGACGUUAA